RNAcentral lists this ribosomal RNA (241 nucleotides) under uncultured Staphylococcus sp. RNAcentral's name for it is "partial 16S ribosomal RNA". It matches the Rfam family "Bacterial small subunit ribosomal RNA", at positions 99 to 334 of the family's 1533-position model. Lineage: Bacteria; Bacillati; Bacillota; Bacilli; Caryophanales; Staphylococcaceae. The record is from RNAcentral.
CGGACGGGUGAGUAACACGCGGAUAACCUACCUAUAAGACUGGGAUAACUUCGGGAAACCGGAGCUAAUACCGGAUAAUAUUUUGAACCGCAUGGUUCAAAAGUGAAAGACGGUCUUGCUGUCACUUAUAGAUGGAUCCGCGCUGCAUUAGCUAGUUGGUAAGGUAACGGCUUACCAAGGCAACGAUGCAUAGCCGACCUGAGAGGGUGAUCGGCCACACUGGAACUGAGACACGGUCCAG